RNAcentral lists this ribosomal RNA (321 nucleotides) under uncultured bacterium. Its description in RNAcentral is "bacterial SSU rRNA". It matches the Rfam family "Bacterial small subunit ribosomal RNA", at positions 775 to 1094 of the family's 1533-position model. The record is from RNAcentral.
GGAUUAGAUACCCGGGUAGUCCACGCCCUAAACGAUGCAUAUUUGGUGUGGGCAGUUCAUUCUGUCCGUGCCGGAGCUAACGCGUUAAAUAUGCCGCCUGGGGAGUACAGUCGCAAGGCUGAAACUCAAAGGAAUUGACGGGGGCCCGCACAAGCGGUGGAGCAUGUGGUUUAAUUCGACGCAACGCGAAGAACCUUACCUGGGCUCGAACGGCUUCUCAACGACUGUGGAAACAUGGUUACCCCGCAAGGGGGUGGAGUCGAGGUGCUGCAUGGCUGUCGUCAGCUCGUGUCGUGAGAUGUUGGGUUAAGUCCCGCAACG